UAAAUGUUUUUAAAACAUAAAAAAACACAGAUAUUUUCACAGUUUUUUAGACAUUAACUAUAUAUAAAAUGAUAUAGUAGAAAAAGGAAAAGGAGUGAAAUACCAAUCUUUCAAAAAAAGAAAUUAUCAAAAAAAAUGUUUGGAGAGUUUAUCUACACUUGCCAUUAUAUCAUUGGUUCAAUUUUGUUUGUAAUUUAAAAGUUACUAAAUAACUAAAUUUUACUAAAUUUAUUAAAAUUUAUAUUUAUAAAAAAAAACUUCAGGACUUUCUUAACUGAUAAUAAUGCGUGCUUGAUAAAAAGAUGUCUAAAUUGCUCAUUUGUUUUAUAAAGAAGCAUUCAGGACACUGAAGGCAAGAAGUUAUAUAUAUAGUAGUCUCCUGCGGCUUUCUAAAUAAACUAAUAUCGUUUUGGGCAUUUCCGCUGGGUUGUUUUUAUGGUUAAAUCCUAACUGUCUGAAUUUUGGACACAUCUUCUAUGUACUUAAAAGGGUGGAUUGUAUUAAGAGCAUUGUAAGAGUUUUUAAAAAAAAAUUAAUAUAAAAUCACUAUUAAUUGAAGAUCUUAAAACAUUUCUUCUCAUCUGAUGUUAUUGAACAUAUAAUUCAUUUAAAAUUCUGUAUAAUAAUUCAAAAUUUGUUGUUAUUCAAUUAGUAAUUUUAAAAAAUCAUGUAAAAUCAUAUUUAUUCAAACAUUACUAACUUGUUUAACUUUGUUUGAAAUGAUUUUUUGAAAUUUUAAAAUACAUUUUUUAGAUAAAUAUGGAGGAGAAAGUCACAUUUAAAGCAUAAUAUCUGGAGUUAUAGGAGUUAAAUUAAAGAUACGAAUUCUAAAAAAAGAAGGUGGGUGUUGUGAGAGUAUAGCAGUGGAGAGUGGAACGCAAAAUUGAGUUUCAGUAGAACGAACCCUCAUCACUUAGACUAAGGUUGGAAAAAUCCGUACUAUGACGGCCUGAAGCUCAACCAAUUUGGCUAAGAUGCUGAUGUUGCUGUCGUAGAUAAUUUAGCUAGUCAAAACAUCGUAGUUUCUCACGGUGUAAGAUGCUGAUGUUGCUGUCGUAGAACAAAAAGGAGAAGCUUGAUUAUGAUAUGAUUGCCUUCAUGUUUGACUAGCUCUUGCUGCUUUUAUGUGAUAUUUAGAUGUGGGUAAGACAUGUUAUUAGUAAUAUGUGGUCUUAUGUUUUGAGUAAGGAAACAGUAUCUUAUUCAUGAGGAAAAAAAUAGUGAUCUAAUUACAUGAUCUAUAGUGCUCUUCGAUAUCGCAUAUCGCCUGUGGUUGAUUCGUUAUAUGUUGUAUUUGAUACCACUAAAGCAAAAACAUAUGAAGUUGAGAUAAUGAGGUGAUUAAUGACGACAUACUGAUAUUCUCUAAAGAUAUGCAUUUCAAUUAGAGUCAAAGUAGAAAACCCGAUCUGGUUUGGUCCCUAGAAACACCGGACUUGAUCUGAUCCAAAUACAUUAAUUCGAAAAUAGUAUUUUUUUAGUUAAAUCGAAUUGAAGUUAAAAAAAAUUUAAGGUUUAAUCGAUCAGGUUUUAUUAAACUAUAAAUUUUGCUUAAAACUUUUUACUAGUUAAGAUAUAAGAUUAAAUAAGUUUUAAUAAAUUUAGGUUGUUUAUAAAUGUAUAUUGAAGCGAACAUAAGAAACCAAAAAAUAUCUAAAUCUUAUUACGUGAAAUAGUGUUUUGCUCUCUCUUCCUUGCGUCACGUAGGAUUCCACCUAAGAAAGUCGAACUCCAGCGUUACAACAUGUGUCACAUCCGCAUUAAACGCAUCAUUUCAUUUAAACAGAAGUUUGUUGGGUUUCGAUACUUGCCGUGUAUCAUUAAGUUUGGUAUUUAGUGGGUUUCAUCAUGUGAUUAUGGGUUACUUUUGGACGGGCCUAGACAUAAAUUUAAUUGAACCCCAAUUUGCUCCACGUAUAGAGGGUCAUCCUCUUGGUUAAUCCGCCGUCGCAACAAGAACGUUUCGGGCCCUAAGUUCUUAUGAAUCGAAUCGUCGUCUUCAAUGAUCUCAUUAACAAUUUCUCCUCCACACCUCAUACGAUCUAUCAUUGAAUGCAUGCUCUUUUAGUCCCUUUCUCAUAAUUUUCGGCUAUAAAAAGGGGUGUGAAAGGGUGACACACAGUAAUAAAGAACUAUGGCAUCUCAAUGUCCCAGUGCUAUGGUUGAAAUCAAUAUAACGCGGCGAUAUUAAAUAGUGGUGAGGUUUCUGGUGAUGAAUAAGUUAGACGUCGGUGCCUGUGAUUAACACGAAGAAGUUGGAACUGCCGGCGAUGGAUCCCUUGAAAGCGGAGAUGAGGCUACUGAUAAUGAAAAAUUGAUCGGAGAGAAUAAGUCACAAGUGAAUCUUACAAAAAAAGAUUAUUGAACGAGCGCACCCAGGAGGUUCAAGAAGACGUAAAAUGGGAUAGCCAAUCCUCACCACACCGUGCUCGAUAAGAUGACAAGUUUCUGGCUUAUUAGAGAUAAACAUGUAAAUUGUAAAAUUAUUAAAAUGAUUUUGAUCCAGUUUCGUAUUUGCAUCAACAAUUGUAAUUUUUUUUAAACCCUUUUAUUUAAAAUAAUUUUAUUAUUAUUA
This is a long non-coding RNA of Brassica napus (rape), 2575 nucleotides long. RefSeq lists it as uncharacterized. Lineage: Eukaryota; Viridiplantae; Streptophyta; Magnoliopsida; Brassicales; Brassicaceae. The transcript has 2 exons. The record is from RefSeq and is a predicted model, not a curated record.